RNAcentral lists this unclassified non-coding RNA (348 nucleotides) under soil metagenome. RNAcentral's name for it is "partial contains 5.8S ribosomal RNA, internal transcribed spacer 2, and large subunit ribosomal RNA". The stretch from base 3 to 120 matches the Rfam family "5.8S ribosomal RNA", at positions 37 to 154 of the family's 154-position model. The record is from RNAcentral.
GGUGAAGAACGUAGCGAAAUGCGAUAAGUAAUGUGAAUUGCAGAAUUCAGUGAAUCAUCGAAUCUUUGAACGCACAUUGCGCCCGCCAGUAUUCUGGCGGGCAUGCCUGUCUGAGCGUCAUUUCAACCCUCAUGCCCCUAGGGCGUGGUGUUGGGGAUCGGCCAAAGCCCGCGAGGGACGGCCGGCCCCUAAAUCUAGUGGCGGACCCGUCGUGGCCUCCUCUGCGAAGUAGUGAUAUUCCGCAUCGGAGAGCGAUGAGCCCCUGCCGUUAAACCCCCAACUUUCCAAGGUUGACCUCAGAUCAGGUAGGAAUACCCGCUGAACUUAAGCAUAUCAAUAAGCGGAGGA